Rhodamnia argentea is the source of this 1994-nucleotide long non-coding RNA. RefSeq lists it as uncharacterized. The record is from RefSeq and is a predicted model, not a curated record. The transcript has 2 exons. NCBI's taxonomy places the organism in Eukaryota, Viridiplantae, Streptophyta, Magnoliopsida, Myrtales, Myrtaceae.
CUAGCGGAGAAGGUUCGAGAACGUAUUGCUAUGAAAAAAACCUUCAAAAAGCAUCUCUUUAUGGAGAACCACGGUGUCGCUGGCCUGGACCGCAAUGGCACGAACGGCGACCGAUCGGCGCCGGUGGUACCUGGACUCGAAUGAUGUAUCGGUUUGCGCAUUCGUCGGGCGAUUUCUUCGCUUUGUCCAGGCUGCCGUUCUUCAUUUCACAAAUCAUGUGCCGAUCCAAUCCGAGAGAUUCGAACCUACCUCCAUCCAGAGCAGACUCCCACCUGCUCGACGACUGACUCUGAAACAUCCUGCCCAAUCUCGUGCUAACCUCGAGUGCGAUGUCGACCGCUUUCCCUGCGAGCGGUGGGAUUUUAAUCUUCUCUAUCUUUGUUAUCAGUUGUUGCCGACUUGAAUCGGAGCAAACGCUGAGUGGACUGAGGAUGGAGGUAGUGUUGAAUCUCUAAGAGUUGGCUCCUCACGCGAUUUGUGAAGGAAGAAUGUGCAAUCGGGACAGCCGAAGAAGCCGCCUGACGUAAUGUGCUCGACUAGACGUUACCUGCUGCGCCGAUUUGGGUACACAGUGAAGCGGGGGAGAGAGAGGAAUCGUGCAGAUGAGGAGGACAGUGAUGAUGUUCUUGAAACAGGUGAUGUCUGGGCGAUGUAUCGGGUAGUAUUCUGCGGGUGAUGGGUGCUCGAAGGAAGAUCUGGAUCGCGAUUAUGAGAGUAAGACUUAGAGUGAAAGAUGAGACAAAGGUCAUUUGAUGCUACUCCUUUGUCCAUUCUGUUUAUGGACAAUCCAAAUGGAUAACCUGAAGUGUUUGGGGUUUCCGCAGAUCUCAAUUUCACUGCUUAUCUGCACAGCGAUUAUCUGAUAGCCUCUCCUAUCAGAAAAGAGCCACGACAUAUUUCUUUCAAGGUGGUUAUAUCUUGUAAAACUCACCAAUGUGGAACUCCUGAGAAGAGAAUGAAUAUUAAUACCUAUCAUAGAUUUUGAGCAGUAUCAAGAAGUUUGUUAAAUCAGUUGAGGACCCAGUACUCUGCUCCAUCUAUGCUGUCUAUGGAUUGUUAUUUGAUUAUUUGAUGAACCACUUAGGCACAGCAAAUGCAGAGAAUUACUUGAUUGAGAACGUGAUACUUGAUGGGAAGAGAGCAGUUAUGCGGCAAUGUUGCGUGUUUCUUGAUUCUUUACCUGAAGGAGCAUGGGCGCUUUUGAAACAAAUACUAUAAAAUUUGAUAUUCUAACCAUGUUUUUGUUCCUCAAUUUUUCUAGCACAUUAUGCCCCCUUGUCGCAUGCAAACAUGGAGCUAUAUAACUUAGCAUGUAACUCACUGCUGAUAUCCCACAAGAACAAGCAUAAAUAUACUGGCCUGUGUGAAAAUUCUGUGUCGUGUAUGGCUUUGGGAGGCAUUCAAGUGGUUAAUGGUCUAGAAUGUCAAAUGGCUUGUAACCCAUCAAAGGUGCUGAUUGCUUUAUGAUACAUUCUGAUUUGUCCUGUGCUGUGUCAAGUAUUUUAUCUCGUAUAGAUAAGAAGAGUGCACAUUCUAUUUCAAACAAGCUUUGAAGGUUGUUUCUUUUUUCAUCCUUGUUUGAUCACUUCCUACCAUCACAAGUGUUUAAUUGCAGACCAGACCUUAUAUGUACUGCACACUGAAGAUUUCCUUUCCGGUGGAGAAGUAAAAGAAACAGCUUGUCAGGGGUUUGAUGUUCAUGUCGUUAUCAAGAAAAGGUACAAAGGUUCCACAGUUUUAUCCCCAAAGUAGCAGCCAUGCAUUACAGAAGAAGCUUGGAAGGUGACACAAGAUUAGUAUGUUGAAAACCUCUGGUAUAUUCAGUUUAUGUUAUCGUCUCUUCUUUCUAUUGACGAAGAGCAUCCGGGAAAACCUGGGUAGUCAGCUUUUUUGGGGUAGACACGGACAGCUGAGAUGUAUGGUAUUUUCCUUUGCUCGACACUGUCUUGCUGCAAAAGCUCUUUUCUGUAAACAUCCUUGUGGCAUUCUCGUCA